UACAGAGGUGGCAAGCGUUGUUCGGAAUUACUGGGCGUAAAGGGCGCGUAGGCGGCCUUCUAAGUCAGACGUGAAAUCCCCAGGCUUAACUUGGGAACUGCGUCUGAUACUGGAAGGCUUGAGUGCGGGAGAGGGAUGUGGAAUUCCAGGUGUAGCGGUGAAAUGCGUAGAUAUCUGGAGGAACACCGGUGGCGAAGGCGGCAUCCUGGACCGACACUGACGCUGAGGAGCGAAAGCCAGGGGAGCAAACGGG
RNAcentral lists this ribosomal RNA (253 nucleotides) under uncultured bacterium. RNAcentral describes it as "partial 16S ribosomal RNA". It matches the Rfam family "Bacterial small subunit ribosomal RNA", at positions 524 to 776 of the family's 1533-position model. The record is from RNAcentral.